RNAcentral lists this ribosomal RNA (456 nucleotides) under uncultured bacterium. Its description in RNAcentral is "bacterial SSU rRNA". It matches the Rfam family "Bacterial small subunit ribosomal RNA", at positions 9 to 507 of the family's 1533-position model. The record is from RNAcentral.
AGUAGUUUGAUCAGUGGCUCGAGAGCGAACGCUGGCGGCAGGCUUAACACAUGCAAGUCGAGCGGGCGUAGCAAUACGUCAGCGGCAGACGGGUGAGUAACGCGUGGGAACGUACCUUUUGGUUCGGAACAACACAGGGAAACUUGUGCUAAUACCGGAUAAGCCCUUACGGGGAAAGAUUUAUCGCCGAAAGAUCGGCCCGCGUCUGAUUAGCUAGUUGGUAGGGUAAUGGCCUACCAAGGCGACGAUCAGUAGCUGGUCUGAGAGGAUGAUCAGCCACAUUGGGACUGAGACACGGCCCAAACUCCUACGGGAGGCAGCAGUGGGAAUAUUGGACAAUGGGGCAACCCUGAUCCAGCCAUGCCGCGAGAGUGAUGAAGGCCCUAGAGUUGUAAAGCUCUUUUGUGCGGGAAGAUAAUGACGGUACCGCAAGAAUAAGCCCCGGCUAACUUCGUG